Molecule: ribosomal RNA, 701 nt
Filed under: Klebsiella michiganensis
Lineage: Bacteria; Pseudomonadati; Pseudomonadota; Gammaproteobacteria; Enterobacterales; Enterobacteriaceae
Description: bacterial SSU rRNA
Rfam family: Bacterial small subunit ribosomal RNA
Source: RNAcentral
AGCUGGAAGUUGUUCCCUUGAGGAGUGGCUUCCGGAGCUAACGCGUUAAGUCGACCGCCUGGGGAGUACGGCCGCAAGGUUAAAACUCAAAUGAAUUGACGGGGGCCCGCACAAGCGGUGGAGCAUGUGGUUUAAUUCGAUGCAACGCGAAGAACCUUACCUACUCUUGACAUCCACAGAACUUAGCAGAGAUGCUUUGGUGCCUUCGGGAACUGUGAGACAGGUGCUGCAUGGCUGUCGUCAGCUCGUGUUGUGAAAUGUUGGGUUAAGUCCCGCAACGAGCGCAACCCUUAUCCUUUGUUGCCAGCGGUUCGGCCGGGAACUCAAAGGAGACUGCCAGUGAUAAACUGGAGGAAGGUGGGGAUGACGUCAAGUCAUCAUGGCCCUUACGAGUAGGGCUACACACGUGCUACAAUGGCAUAUACAAAGAGAAGCGACCUCGCGAGAGCAAGCGGACCUCAUAAAGUAUGUCGUAGUCCGGAUUGGAGUCUGCAACUCGACUCCAUGAAGUCGGAAUCGCUAGUAAUCGUGGAUCAGAAUGCCACGGUGAAUACGUUCCCGGGCCUUGUACACACCGCCCGUCACACCAUGGGAAGUGGGUUGCAAAAGAAGUAGGUAGCUUAACCUUCGGGAGGGCGCUUACCACUUUGUGAUUCAUGACUGGGGUGAAGUCGUCAAAGGGGAAACCCAGGGGGGGGGGC